Molecule: ribosomal RNA, 369 nt
Filed under: uncultured bacterium
Lineage: Bacteria
Description: bacterial SSU rRNA
Rfam family: Bacterial small subunit ribosomal RNA
Source: RNAcentral
ACGUAGGUGGCAAGCGUUGUCCGGAUUUAUUGGGUUUAAAGGGUGCGUAGGCGGUUCCAUAAGUCAGUGGUGAAAUACGGCAGCUUAACUGUCGAGGUGCCAUUGAUACUGCGGAACUUGAGUACAGACGAGGUAGGCGGAAUUGACGGUGUAGCGGUGAAAUGCUUAGAUAUCGUCAAGAACACCGAUAGCGAAGGCAGCUUACUAGACUGUAACUGACGCUGAGGCACGAAAGUGUGGGGAUCAAACAGGAUUAGAUACCCUGGUAGUCCACACUGUAAACGAUGAUUACUCGAUGUUGGCGAUACACAGCCAGCGUCUUAGCAAAAGCGAUAAGUAAUCCACCUGGGGAGUACGCCCGCAAGGGUG